CACGUUGAAACACCGAUUUCAGUAUGAUCACAGAAGUUAAGCAACGUCGAGCCUUAUCAGUACCUAGAUGGGUGACCAUUUGGGAAUAUUGGGCGCGGUAA
Non-coding RNA from Acanthosepion pharaonis, 101 nucleotides. The record is from the annotation of a GenBank genome assembly. NCBI's taxonomy places the organism in Eukaryota, Metazoa, Mollusca, Cephalopoda, Sepiida, Sepiidae.